UGUGUAGGUGGCCAUGUAAGUCAGGUGUGAAAGCCCCGGGCUCAACCCGGGAAGUGCAUUUGAUACUGCGUGGCUUGAGUACCGAAGAGGGUAGUGGAAUUCCAGGUGUAGUGGUGAAAUACGUAGAUAUCUGGAGGAACACCGGUGGCGAAGGCGGCUACCUGGUCGAGUACUGACACUGAGACACGAAAGCAUGGGGGAUCAAACA
This 208-nucleotide ribosomal RNA is filed under the name uncultured bacterium. RNAcentral describes it as "partial 16S ribosomal RNA". It matches the Rfam family "Bacterial small subunit ribosomal RNA", at positions 568 to 774 of the family's 1533-position model. The record is from RNAcentral.